UGAGUAACCUGCCCUUGACUCUGGGAUAAGCGUUGGAAACGACGUCUAAUACCGGAUACGAGCUUCAGUCGCAUGACUAGGAGCUGGAAAGAAUUUCGGUCAAGGAUGGACUCGCGGCCUAUCAGCUAGUUGGUGAGGUAACGGCCCACCAAGGCGACGACGGGUAGCCGGCCUGAGAGGGUGACCGGCCACACUGGGACUGAGACACGGCCCAGACUCCUACGGGAGCAG
Molecule: ribosomal RNA, 231 nt
Filed under: uncultured bacterium
Lineage: Bacteria
Description: partial 16S ribosomal RNA
Rfam family: Bacterial small subunit ribosomal RNA
Source: RNAcentral